CCCUCGGGUGCAGUGGUAACAUGCGCCCCUGGCAUGGGUGAAGCGUGGGUUCAACUCUCGUCUGAGGGU
Parelaphostrongylus tenuis is the source of this 69-nucleotide non-coding RNA. NCBI's taxonomy places the organism in Eukaryota, Metazoa, Nematoda, Chromadorea, Rhabditida, Metastrongylidae. The record is from the annotation of a GenBank genome assembly.